RNAcentral lists this ribosomal RNA (415 nucleotides) under uncultured prokaryote. Its description in RNAcentral is "bacterial SSU rRNA". It matches the Rfam family "Bacterial small subunit ribosomal RNA", at positions 505 to 918 of the family's 1533-position model. The record is from RNAcentral.
GUGUCAGCAGCCGCGGUAAUACGGAGGGUGCAAGCGUUGUUCGGAAUUAUUGGGCGUAAAGAGCGUGUAGGCGGCCUUGUAAGUCAGAUGUGAAAUCCCUUGGCUUAACCAAGGAAGGGCAUUUGAAACUGCUUGGCUUGAGUACGGGAGGGGGAAGUGGAAUUCCCGGUGUAGAGGUGAAAUUCGUAGAUAUCGGGAGGAACACCAGUGGCGAAGGCGGCUUCCUGGACCGAUACUGACGCUGAGACGCGAAAGCGUGGGGAGCAAACAGGAUUAGAUACCCUGGUAGUCCACGCCGUAAACGUUGGGCACUAGGUGUUGUGGGUAUUGACCCCCGCAGUGCCGAAGCUAACGCAUUAAGUGCCCCGCCUGGGGAGUACGGUCGCAAGGCUAAAACUUAAAUGAAUUGACGGGG